RNAcentral lists this ribosomal RNA (263 nucleotides) under uncultured archaeon. RNAcentral describes it as "partial 16S ribosomal RNA". It matches the Rfam family "Archaeal small subunit ribosomal RNA", at positions 748 to 1008 of the family's 1478-position model. The record is from RNAcentral.
CAGCCGUAAACUAUGCGCGUUAGGUGUACUGGUGACCACGAGUCACCGGGGUGCCGAAGGGAAACCGUGAAACGUGCCGCCUGGGAAGUACGGUCGCAAGGCUGAAACUUAAAGGAAUUGGCGGGGGGAGCACCACAACGGGUGGAGCCUGCGGUUUAAUUUGGACUCAACGCCGGAAAUCUCACCGGAUAGGACAGACAUAUGAUAGUCGGGCUGAAGACUCUACUUGAUGAUCUGAGAGGUGGUGCAUGGCGUCAGUGACU